RNAcentral lists this ribosomal RNA (253 nucleotides) under uncultured bacterium. RNAcentral's name for it is "partial 16S ribosomal RNA". It matches the Rfam family "Bacterial small subunit ribosomal RNA", at positions 524 to 776 of the family's 1533-position model. The record is from RNAcentral.
UACGGAGGGGGCGAGCGUUAUUCGGAAUUAUUGGGCGUAAAGGGCGCGUAGGCGGCCCGGUAAGUCAAAGGUGAAAUCCCUCGGCUCAACCGGGGAACUGCGUCCGAUACUGGUGGGCUCGAAUCCGGGAGAGGGAUGUGGAAUUCCAGGUGUAGCGGUGAAAUGCGUAGAUAUCUGGAGGAACACCGGUGGCGAAGGCGGCAUCCUGGACCGGUAUUGACGCUGAUGCGCGAAAGCCAGGGGAGCAAACGGG